GCCAGGAUGGCUUAGUGGUUUGAGCAUUGGACUAUGAUUCUGGAGAACAGAGUUCAAAUUCUCACUCAGCCUUGGAA
Non-coding RNA from Phrynosoma platyrhinos (Desert horned lizard), 77 nucleotides. Lineage: Eukaryota; Metazoa; Chordata; Lepidosauria; Squamata; Phrynosomatidae. The record is from the annotation of a GenBank genome assembly.